GCAUGCUGAAUAUACCGGUUCUCUUUAGAUCACCGAAGUCAAGCAUCAUUGGGCGCGGUCAGUACUUGGGUGGGUGACCACCUGGGAACACCGCGUGCCGUU
This 102-nucleotide ribosomal RNA is filed under the name Caerostris darwini. The record is from RNAcentral. Lineage: Eukaryota; Metazoa; Arthropoda; Arachnida; Araneae; Araneidae.